Molecule: ribosomal RNA, 391 nt
Filed under: Rhizosolenia sp.
Lineage: Eukaryota; Bacillariophyta; Coscinodiscophyceae; Rhizosoleniales; Rhizosoleniaceae
Description: partial small subunit ribosomal RNA
Rfam family: Eukaryotic small subunit ribosomal RNA
Source: RNAcentral
AUUCCAGCUCCAAUAGUGUAUAUUAAAGUUGUUGCAGUUAAAAAGCUCGUAGUUGGAUUUCUGGCGGGAGCGAUCGGUCCUUCACUCAGUGUUGGAACCUGAUUGUCUCCUGCCAUCCAUGGAGAAAACUUAUCUGGCAUUAAGUUGUCGGGUAGGCAAUCUCCAUCUUUUACUGUGAAAAAAUUAGAGUGUUCAAAGCAGGCUUAUGCCGUUGAAUAUAUUAGCAUGGAAUAAUAGAAUAGGACUUGAGCCUCUUCUGUUGGUCUGAGGGGUGUAAGUAAUGAUUAAUAGGGAUAGUUGGGGGCAUUAGUACUUAACUGUCAGAGGUGAAAUUCUCGGAUUUGUUAAAGACUAACUUAUGCGAAAGCAUUUGCCAAGGAUGUUUUCAUUA